RNAcentral lists this long non-coding RNA (797 nucleotides) under Struthio camelus australis. RNAcentral describes it as "lncRNA (ENSSCUG00000003969.1)". The record is from RNAcentral. Lineage: Eukaryota; Metazoa; Chordata; Aves; Struthioniformes; Struthionidae.
GCAUGGUGAUGAAGGCAGCUGUAUCCCACAAAUCUUGAAGAGGUGAUGGAGCCAGACUCUUCAGAGAUAUCUCACGUUCUGCUUGAGGAAGUCGGCACAUCACCUUUGGGUGCAAUUUUAGUGUUUGGUCUACUGCUGCAAUCUCCAUAUAAACACUCACGCGCCUGCUCCAAUGCUUACCCUCCCCGCAGACCAUUCAUGCAAAACUCGCCAUGCUUUGGUGGCCAGCAAUCAAUUUCAGUCAUCAGCUCUGACUAUCCAAUUCUGCUCAUAUCGGCUUGCCAGCCUCGGUCUAUGAGUUACUUGAUGAAUUCUCCUGGGGAACUGGAGGAGAAAUGAGCCAGCUGCUGGCCCUGCUCUAGUAGAGAACCAGCUAUUUUUGCUGUGAUUCAGAGCAUAUUGCUUCCUUCCCCCUGCAAAACCAUCUCUGUAAGGAGAAGAACUGUGGAAGAGGAAUUUACCAUUUUGCUGUUUGGAAAAUGAGGGACGGGUGGGUUUGGUGAAACCAACCUGGAUUGAGCUGCCUAAUUUUAGGUACUUAAUUUAGGAGUGUUGUCACAGAGUGCUCUCCUGUCAGUGGGUGAGAUAAUCUGCUGAAGGGUAAUUUAGACCUCUUCAAUUAGCCUGCUGUUCCAAAUUGCUGUGGAGAUGAUUGUCUUUUCCCAUUGACUACGGAGGGUGUCAAAGGAAACUGGAUAGCUAACUUAAACAUUUGAAUUUGUUACCUAAAAUUGGGCAUAAAUAAGUGUGGGCAACAGCAGGGAUGUGGGAUAUUCACUGUCCACAGUCAAUGGGAA